This 253-nucleotide ribosomal RNA is filed under the name uncultured bacterium. RNAcentral describes it as "partial 16S ribosomal RNA". It matches the Rfam family "Bacterial small subunit ribosomal RNA", at positions 524 to 776 of the family's 1533-position model. The record is from RNAcentral.
UACGUAGGGGGCUAGCGUUGUCCGGAAUCAUUGGGCGUAAAGCGCGCGUAGGCGGCCCGGUAAGUCCGCUCUGAAAGUCCAGGGCUCAACCCUGGAAUGCGGGUGGAUACUGCCGGGCUAGAGUCCGGAAGAGGCGAGUGGAAUUCCCGGUGUAGCGGUGAAAUGCGCAGAUAUCGGGAGGAACACCAGUGGCGAAGGCGGUUACCUGGAGCUUUGCUGACGCUGAUGCGCGAAAGCGUGGGGAGCGAUCCGG